Molecule: long non-coding RNA, 758 nt
Organism: Oreochromis niloticus (Nile tilapia)
Lineage: Eukaryota; Metazoa; Chordata; Actinopteri; Cichliformes; Cichlidae
Exons: 3
Source: RefSeq, a predicted model, not a curated record
UCCCGCCUGGCUAAGUGAAUGAGUGAAUGAUUAAGUGACCUGUCACUGAGUUAAAUCCAAGAAAUCCUGCUGCUAUGAGUGACAUGUUGACAGCCUGGUAAAUGAAAUCCAGCAUUUUACUGCCAGCAAGCCACUCAGGCAAUGCUUGGCCUUUUCUCUGGAAUUUGCAUGGAGAGCCUGGAAUAUCACACACUUGGUAAAUGCACAUUUCAGAAGAGGUGAAUGGACAGACAGCUAACACAAUGCAGGUUCAGCUGAACAUCCAUGGGAGCAAUGUAAUUGGAGAAGAUAAUGGAAACUGAACCCGCCUCUCCUCAGCAUAUUGCCAGAAGGCUGUGCUAUACCUGCACUUUUCAGCAAGACAGUGGAUGCUACAGCAGAAGUACAUGGCCCAAAACAGGACACUGUUCCAGGGUCAGCGGAUGGCAGCUGCACGGAUGCGUGAGCGUUUUUUAGAUAUCUGUGCACUUUUGUUGUUGACCCUGCUCUGACAGAUGUAUUUUUAUUUCAUAAAUUCUGCACUCAGCUUGCAGUCUCCAAUAUCAGUGAAAUUCACCCAGUUGCUUCUCGUUUCUUGUCUCUCUCCCAGUGGGCUCUGGCUCCCGGUCUCUCUGUCGCUCCGUAUCCCUGUCCUGUACCACUACACUUUCUCCUUUCCUUUUUUCAGGCAACUGUAUGAUUGUAGUCUGUCUUUGCAUGUGAUUGGCCGGUGCACUCCAAAUAAACUCCUGUCCAUGUCUGCAUAGCAGAGCUGAACA